RNAcentral lists this ribosomal RNA (468 nucleotides) under uncultured bacterium. RNAcentral's name for it is "partial 16S ribosomal RNA". It matches the Rfam family "Bacterial small subunit ribosomal RNA", at positions 28 to 507 of the family's 1533-position model. The record is from RNAcentral.
GACGAACGCUGGCGGCGUGCUUAACACAUGCAAGUCGAACGGAAAGGCCCUGCUUUUGUGGGGUGCUCGAGUGGCGAACGGGUGAGUAACACGUGAGUAACCUGCCCUUGACUUUGGGAUAACUUCAGGAAACUGGGGCUAAUACCGGAUAGGAGCUCCUGCUGCAUGGUGGGGGUUGGAAAGUUUCGGCGGUUGGGGAUGGACUCGCGGCUUAUCAGCUUGUUGGUGGGGUAGUGGCUUACCAAGGCUUUGACGGGUAGCCGGCCUGAGAGGGUGACCGGCCACAAUGGGACUGGAGUUCGGCCCAGACUCCUACGGGGGGGAACAGGGGGGAAUAUUGCACAAUGGGCGGAAGCCUGAUGCAGCAACGCCGCGUGCGGGAUUACGGCCUUCGGGUUGUAAACCGCUUUCGCCUGUGACGAAGCGUGAGUGACGGUAAUGGGUAAAGAAGCACCGGCUAACUACGUG